UGUGAUAUGCCAGAUAAAUGGGAAAUAUUGAUAAUAUUUUUAUGUAUAUAUAUACUGUCACAU
Molecule: transfer RNA, 63 nt
Filed under: Botryllus schlosseri
Lineage: Eukaryota; Metazoa; Chordata; Ascidiacea; Stolidobranchia; Styelidae
Description: transfer RNA-Ile
Source: RNAcentral